AGAGGGCUCCGCGUCCCGCCGAUCUUCGUAGACCGACACUGGACUGCCGCCGCUGCAACCAGGAAAGAACUUCCGCGGAGGGGCGAACUAGCCAGACACAGAAACGGCGGGACACCAGGAUCCGGCGGUUGCUGCUUGCGCCGCGCUCGGGUAGCAGAGCCUCCACAGGUUCUUCUGUGCUGUGUAUCCGGGAGCUGAUCCAGCCCGCCAGGCACGCAGGCGAGCUGAAAUCAACCAGAGACUGCCCCGUGAACCUCGGACUGCCGAUUUGCAGUCCUGUAACAUUUGCUCCUCCCCUGCAACCCCAAAUCAAUUUGGCACUUCAGCUUCAAUCAGAAGCCCCCACGGUCACCCUGCCCCAGCGCCUGUACUGUGAUUGAGGUUCCUCAGAAGACGAUAGGAUCUCCACAGCAAAGGCAAGGGGGAAGGAAAUGGUAAUAGUUUCUUCAUGUUUAGUCCAAAGGAAACAAACUUUUAACAGCAAAGUGCUCUUGGAGAGGUGUCAAUAGGGGCCUGUGGAGAGAAGAUGACAGAUUGGACAAAAUUAAUCCCUGGGAGUGUGAGUGUGUUUCAGUAAAUGAAGAGACAGGAUGCUAGCAGGGGAGCAACAGAGGGA
Molecule: long non-coding RNA, 616 nt
Organism: Suricata suricatta (meerkat)
Lineage: Eukaryota; Metazoa; Chordata; Mammalia; Carnivora; Herpestidae
Exons: 6
Source: RefSeq, a predicted model, not a curated record